GAAUAUUGUGUGUGUGUGUGUGUGUGUGUGUGUGUGUGCGCGCACACACACACACACACACACACACACUUUGGUCAU
Podarcis lilfordi (Lilford's wall lizard) is the source of this 78-nucleotide non-coding RNA. The record is from the annotation of a GenBank genome assembly. NCBI's taxonomy places the organism in Eukaryota, Metazoa, Chordata, Lepidosauria, Squamata, Lacertidae.